AGAAGGUGAAAGCCCUGUAAUCGAAACCUUGCAUACAUGGGACUGUAUCCAGAGUACCACGAGACACGUGAAACCUUGUGGGAAGCAGGGGGGACCACCCUCCAAGCCAAAAUACUGAUAUCGACCGAUAGCGCAUAGUACCGUGAGGGAAAGGUGAAAAGAACCCCUGGCGGGGAGUGAAAGAGAACCUGAAACCGUAUGUCUACAAACAGUCGAAGUCUGUAUAUAUAUCAGGACGACGGCGUGCCUAUUGAAGAAUGAACCGACGAGUUACUGUUGCUAGCGAGGUUAAGUGGAAAACACGGAGCCGCAGCGAAAGCGAGUCUGAACAGGGCGUUCAGUUAGUAAUAGUAGACCCGAAACCGUAGUGAUCUAUCCAUGGCCAGGUUGAAGCACAGGUAAAAUUGUGUGGAGGACCGAACUCGUGAGCGUUGAAAAGCUUUGGGAUGAGUUGUGGAUAGGGGUGAAAUGCCAAUCGAACACGGAGAUAGCUGGUUCUCCCCGAAAUAGCUUUAGGGCUAGCCUCGAGGUUGAGAGUAUAGGCGGUAGAGCACUGAUCGGGCUAGGGGCCAUACCGGUUACCGAACCUAGUCAAACUACGAAUGGCUAUACUUAUACUCGGGAGUCAGACAGUGAAUGAUAAGGUCCAUUGUCAAGAGGGAAACAGCCCAGAACACCGACUAAGGUCCCAAAUGUUACACUAAGUGGCGAAGGAUGUGGAAUUUCCAAAACAACCAGGAUGUUGGCUUAGAAGCAGCCACCAUUUAAAGAGUGCGUAAUAGCUCACUGGUCGAGAGACUCUGCGCCGAAAAUGUCCGGGGCUAAAGUGUAAAACCGAAGUCGUGUCAUGUACAGCAAUGUACAUGGGUAGGGGAGCGUUCUCAUUGGGUUGAAGCAGUACCGUAAGGAGUUGUGGACUGAUGAGAAGUGAGAAUGUCGGUAUGAGUAGCGAAAAGAAUGGUGAGAAUCCAUUCCACCGAAAGCCUAAGGGUUCCUGAGCAACGAUCGUCGUCUCAGGGUAAGUCGGGACCUAAGCCGAGGCGGAAAAGCGUAGGCGAUGGACAACAGGUUGAAAUUCCUGUACCGGUGUGAAUCGUUUGAUCGAUGGAGUGACACAGUAAGGUAGGUCAGCACGCGAUUGGAAGUGCGUGUUUAAGCAUGUAGGUUGAGCUAUAGGCAAAUCCGUAGCUCUAAAAGCUGAGAUGUGAUGACGAGUUACUAGC
This 1223-nucleotide ribosomal RNA is filed under the name Veillonella fallax. RNAcentral describes it as "partial 23S ribosomal RNA". It matches the Rfam family "Bacterial large subunit ribosomal RNA", at positions 359 to 1581 of the family's 2925-position model. The record is from RNAcentral. Lineage: Bacteria; Bacillati; Bacillota; Negativicutes; Veillonellales; Veillonellaceae.